Molecule: long non-coding RNA, 315 nt
Filed under: Homo sapiens (human)
Lineage: Eukaryota; Metazoa; Chordata; Mammalia; Primates; Hominidae
Description: HSALNT0348164
Source: RNAcentral
AUCUGAUAUGCUUGGCUAAUUCUUUUUAUUAAUCAGAAGUUAUUUUUUUGCUGAACACAUUUAACAGAAGGAACUUUUCUUUUACAUAUCCAUCAACCAAUGAUAAGGUGGUCGAGGUAUCAGGUGAGCUCACAGUCCAUCACAGCAUCAGGUGAUAUUGCGGAAAGAGGAGGCUGAAGUGUACAGAUGAAUCCGUCCUAGCAGUUCUCACCAUAAAUUUAUCAGGCUGCCUAAACUACUGCCCACUCGGUUACCCCGGUUACAGCCCACAUGAUCCAUCUUCUCACGCCCAUAGAUGUUCAUCAAUAAAACAAA